Molecule: ribosomal RNA, 2870 nt
Filed under: Salmonella enterica subsp. enterica serovar Newport
Lineage: Bacteria; Pseudomonadati; Pseudomonadota; Gammaproteobacteria; Enterobacterales; Enterobacteriaceae
Description: bacterial LSU rRNA
Rfam family: Bacterial large subunit ribosomal RNA
Source: RNAcentral
GGGUUGUGAGGUUAAGCGACUAAGCGUACACGGUGGAUGCCCUGGCAGUCAGAGGCGAUGAAGGGCGUGCUAAUCUGCGAUAAGCGCCGGUAAGGUGAUAUGAACCGUUAUAACCGGCGAUACCCGAAUGGGGAAACCCAGUGUGAUUCGUCACACUAUCAUUAACUGAAUCCAUAGGUUAAUGAGGCGAACCGGGGGAACUGAAACAUCUAAGUACCCCGAGGAAAAGAAAUCAACCGAGAUUCCCCCAGUAGCGGCGAGCGAACGGGGAGGAGCCCAGAGCCUGAAUCAGCAUGUGUGUUAGUGGAAGCGUCUGGAAAGGCGCGCGAUACAGGGUGACAGCCCCGUACACAAAAGCGCAUGUGCUGUGAGCUCGAUGAGUAGGGCGGGACACGUGGUAUCCUGUCUGAAUAUGGGGGGACCAUCCUCCAAGGCUAAAUACUCCUGACUGACCGAUAGUGAACCAGUACCGUGAGGGAAAGGCGAAAAGAACCCCGGCGAGGGGAGUGAAAAAGAACCUGAAACCGUGUACGUACAAGCAGUGGGAGCACAGGUUUACCUGUGUGACUGCGUACCUUUUGUAUAAUGGGUCAGCGACUUAUAUUCUGUAGCAAGGUUAACCGAAUAGGGGAGCCGGAGGGAAACCGAGUCUUAACCGGGCGUUAAGUUGCAGGGUAUAGACCCGAAACCCGGUGAUCUAGCCAUGGGCAGGUUGAAGGUUGGGUAACACUAACUGGAGGACCGAACCGACUAAUGUUGAAAAAUUAGCGGAUGACCUGUGGCUGGGGGUGAAAGGCCAAUCAAACCGGGAGAUAGCUGGUUCUCCCCGAAAGCUAUUUAGGUAGCGCCUCGUGAAUUCAUCUCCGGGGGUAGAGCACUGUUUCGGCUAGGGGGCCAUCCCGGCUUACCAACCCGAUGCAAACUGCGAAUACCGGAGAAUGUUAUCACGGGAGACACACGGCGGGUGCUAACGUCCGUCGUGAAGAGGGAAACAACCCAGACCGCCAGCUAAGGUCCCAAAGUCAUGGUUAAGUGGGAAACGAUGUGGGAAGGCCCAGACAGCCAGGAUGUUGGCUUAGAAGCAGCCAUCAUUUAAAGAAAGCGUAAUAGCUCACUGGUCGAGUCGGCCUGCGCGGAAGAUGUAACGGGGCUAAACCAUGCACCGAAGCUGCGGCAGCGAUUUGCUGGAGGUAUCAGAAGUGCGAAUGCUGACAUAAGUAACGAUAAAGCGGGUGAAAAGCCCGCUCGCCGGAAGACCAAGGGUUCCUGUCCAACGUUAAUCGGGGCAGGGUGAGUCGACCCCUAAGGCGAGGCCGAAAGGCGUAGUCGAUGGGAAACGGGUUAAUAUUCCCGUACUUGGUGUUACUGCGAAGGGGGGACGGAGAAGGCUAUGUUGGCCGGGCGACGGUUGUCCCGGUUUAAGCGUGUAGGUGUGUGUUCCAGGUAAAUCCGGUUCACUUUAACACUGAGGCGUGACGACGAGGCACUACGGUGCUGAAGCAACAAAUGCCCUGCUUCCAGGAAAAGCCUCUAAGCAUCAGGUAACAUCAAAUCGUACCCCAAACCGACACAGGUGGUCAGGUAGAGAAUACCAAGGCGCUUGAGAGAACUCGGGUGAAGGAACUAGGCAAAAUGGUGCCGUAACUUCGGGAGAAGGCACGCUGACACGUAGGUGAAGUGAUUUACUCAUGGAGCUGAAGUCAGUCGAAGAUACCAGCUGGCUGCAACUGUUUAUUAAAAACACAGCACUGUGCAAACACGAAAGUGGACGUAUACGGUGUGACGCCUGCCCGGUGCCGGAAGGUUAAUUGAUGGGGUCAGCGCAAGCGAAGCUCCUGAUCGAAGCCCCGGUAAACGGCGGCCGUAACUAUAACGGUCCUAAGGUAGCGAAAUUCCUUGUCGGGUAAGUUCCGACCUGCACGAAUGGCGUAAUGAUGGCCAGGCUGUCUCCACCCGAGACUCAGUGAAAUUGAACUCGCUGUGAAGAUGCAGUGUACCCGCGGCAAGACGGAAAGACCCCGUGAACCUUUACUAUAGCUUGACACUGAACAUUGAGCCUUGAUGUGUAGGAUAGGUGGGAGGCUUUGAAGCGUGGACGCCAGUCUGCAUGGAGCCGACCUUGAAAUACCACCCUUUAAUGUUUGAUGUUCUAACGUGGACCCGUGAUCCGGGUUGCGGACAGUGUCUGGUGGGUAGUUUGACUGGGGCGGUCUCCUCCUAAAGAGUAACGGAGGAGCACGAAGGUUGGCUAAUCCUGGUCGGACAUCAGGAGGUUAGUGCAAUGGCAUAAGCCAGCUUGACUGCGAGCGUGACGGCGCGAGCAGGUGCGAAAGCAGGUCAUAGUGAUCCGGUGGUUCUGAAUGGAAGGGCCAUCGCUCAACGGAUAAAAGGUACUCCGGGGAUAACAGGCUGAUACCGCCCAAGAGUUCAUAUCGACGGCGGUGUUUGGCACCUCGAUGUCGGCUCAUCACAUCCUGGGGCUGAAGUAGGUCCCAAGGGUAUGGCUGUUCGCCAUUUAAAGUGGUACGCGAGCUGGGUUUAGAACGUCGUGAGACAGUUCGGUCCCUAUCUGCCGUGGGCGCUGGAGAACUGAGGGGGGCUGCUCCUAGUACGAGAGGACCGGAGUGGACGCAUCACUGGUGUUCGGGUUGUCAUGCCAAUGGCACUGCCCGGUAGCUAAAUGCGGAAGAGAUAAGUGCUGAAAGCAUCUAAGCACGAAACUUGCCCCGAGAUGAGUUCUCCCUGAGACUUAGAGUCUCCUGAAGGAACGUUGAAGACGACGACGUUGAUAGGCCGGGUGUGUAAGCGCAGCGAUGCGUUGAGCUAACCGGUACUAAUGAACCGUGAGGCUUAACCUUACAACGCCGAAG